GGUAGCGUGUCCGAGCGGCCGAAGGAGCGCGCCUCGAAAGCGCGUGACGGGUAUCCCCCGUCCGUGGGUUCAAAUCCCACCGCUACCG
RNAcentral lists this transfer RNA (88 nucleotides) under Amycolatopsis marina. RNAcentral's name for it is "tRNA_Ser_CGA". It matches the Rfam family "tRNA". Rfam says of the family: Transfer RNA (tRNA) molecules are approximately 80 nucleotides in length. Their secondary structure includes four short double-helical elements and three loops (D, anti-codon, and T loops). Lineage: Bacteria; Bacillati; Actinomycetota; Actinomycetes; Pseudonocardiales; Pseudonocardiaceae. RNAcentral also lists the same sequence under 1 other name. The record is from RNAcentral.